UUGAUUUUGUUGCAAAUGAACUCAAUUUUAUAAAUAAAAAAAUGUGUUUACCUCAACAUUGUAAUCGGUCCCACUCAGACCGAUCUUCAUCAACCACAACUUCUUUUAUGUAUCCCUAUUCCAUUGUGGGUAAAAGAAAAAGUAUGUUGCCUAUUUAGUAGUGUGACUAAAGUACAAGGCUAUUUCCCACAAUUUGAACAUUAAAAGAGCAAAAAUCAUGCCUUUAGUUUGAAGUUCAAUGAGAAGUUCAUUAACAUCACCAUUUUGCAGCAACUCUUCACGAACAAGAAGAGUUUCCUUGUAACAAAAAGCAUAUUAAAUAAAAUAAAUAAAUAAAACAACAAAAAUAUGUUUUUUACACAAGAUAUGUUAAGGAAGAUAAAUACCAUAACAUUACAGGCUACUGGGUAAUCUGUUUUUGCAUCCAAAAUUAUGUUUUUUCCUUUUUCCAUGUGAGUAGAUUUUAAAACAUAGACAUGACAAAUUUCAUCUAGAAAGUUAAAAAAAAAAAAAAAANAAAAAAAAAGCAAAAUUACUAAAUUGUCCUCAAACAUCUUUUAAUUUACGGAGAACAUAAAUCUUACCGGCAUGAGUGAAUGACCAAGAACAUGUAUUAUUGUUGCAGACUUUAUUUAAGAAAUCAGUUUAUUGUUGCCUCUUAGAAUCAUAAGAUUAACCCUUUACCAACUCCAUAUGGGAGACAUUAAUAUGUUUCAAUCACUAAAAGGUUAAUUAAGAAUUUAGUGCUUCUUCUCCGGUUGGUUCUAGAAUGAUAAUACAAAACAAUGUUGAUUAUAGUACCAUAUUCAUGAAGAAUGGAGAUAAUGAGUGCGUUAAAAAUGUGUUUAAGGUAAAAAAGAAAAUAUAAGUGAGGUGUUUGUAAUGUGAUGUACCACACAAAAGCAUAGUUACUGCAUAAACUUAUGAAGCUCAGUAUUGCANGCAUAAACCUAUGAAGCUCAGUAUUGCAAUUAUUACCCAUUAUUGUGUAUAAUUCACAAUGCUUGAGCAGGGUCUGAUGAUUACAUGAGCACAGGAACAAACAACUAUCGACUUAUAUAGAUUUACUUGCAUUGACAGAAAUGGAAAGCAAUGGAAGUAAUCAGUUGGAUGUCUCAACUGCUCACCAGAGUUUUCAAAACAUGGAUGUUGAUCUUUGUUUCAAAACUAAUGAUGAUCAGAAUCAGAUUAGCCCUUUCAGAAACUUCCUACAGAGGGACUUUGGUCAUAACAUGACCCAAUCAUCAGUUGUUGGCUCAUCUUGUGCUACCACAACAUUAAUGAAUUCACAAAAUGCUCCCUAAUUCUAAUACUCCCUUACAAUUGGAGUCCUAAUAAUCAUCCCAAAAUAAGAAGUAAAAAAUCACAGGUAUCCUCACAAAUUACAUAAAUGGACUCUAGUUAGGAAUGGUGAAUGUAGUACAAAAAUAGCUACAAGUCCAAGAGACAUUGAUUUGACGAAUAAACAUGGUAAAAGAUCUCAGAAGACUAUAAUCAAACAAACUAAUCACAAAUCUCGAAUAGACAUACGAUAUUCCAAGCAGAGGAACUAUAAUCAAGAGCAAUGUCAUCACUAAUUAGAAAUUGGUUCAUGUAAAUGCCGAUCAAAAAUCAUAUAUUUUUUCUCAGCAAUCAAGCGUGAAACCACUAAAUUGGCAAACAAUUUGACUCAAUCGAUUGAUUUUCUCCACUACUACAUAAAAGUUAAGAACUGUUCAACCAAAUCUGCAUUGCAAGUAGAUAAUCGAUUGCAAAAAAAAUAAAUUUGAGCAAAUAAGAAACUUAUGACUUAUUUAUGUUGAAUAAUCUAAUGGAGAGAUCAAUAUCCUCUGAUCCAUUGGAUGAUAGAACGAGAAAAUAGAGCAAAAAGAAGAGAGAAGAAUGUUACCUGGUGAAUGCGAAAUCCCCAGGAGCUUUAGAUUUGCUUGAAAAGAUGCUUGUAUUGGGACGAACGGAGUUGAUUUCGAUAUGUGUAGGGAGAAUGCGAAAUCGAUUAACAUGGUGUUCAGUUCGCUUAUAUGAACGAAUUGAUGAAUUCGAUUUGGAUUUGACUUUUUGGAGUCAAAUAAGGUUCAACUGAUUUUGGUUGUUCACAGCAGGGACGUUAAAUUCCUUGGGGACGAUCGGGUUUCGCAUUGAAUGCUUAUACUUCGGGUCAAAAUUGAGUUCGCAUCUACGAUCAGCUAUUGGGGUUGUUGAUGCUUUGCUUUGCUACUGCUGUGUGGUUUGUUCAUUCGCAUCUAGUAACAAAUUUGGCGAAGAAAGAAAAGUGUUUGCAUAUGGUCCUUACAGUUUCAGUGUUUUGGCAGUUACUACCCACUUUCGCAAUAGGAGUAAAGUUUUGUGAAGUAUGCAGAAUUUUCUAUUCGAAUCCCUACAGUUUAUGCGAAGUGGCAAAUUUUACCCAGUUUCACAUUUGGCGUAUUUUUACCAAAUAGCUUCCUCUGGUAUUUUA
Molecule: long non-coding RNA, 2455 nt
Filed under: Lactuca sativa (garden lettuce)
Lineage: Eukaryota; Viridiplantae; Streptophyta; Magnoliopsida; Asterales; Asteraceae
Description: long non-coding RNA (LSAT_LNC005389)
Source: RNAcentral